CUCUGAAUCGUAAACUCCUGUCGGCCGGGAAGAAUGGUCGGGGUGCUAAUCAGCCCGAUUUGACUGUACCGGCAAACGGAAGCCCCGGCUAAACUCCCGUGC
Molecule: ribosomal RNA, 102 nt
Filed under: uncultured bacterium
Lineage: Bacteria
Description: partial 16S ribosomal RNA
Source: RNAcentral